AUGUGAACUCAUCUCCCUCACCUCUGCCGGUUUUCCUUUACCUCUCUCAUUCUCGGUGCUCAUCUUCGACAGGAUCACACAUUACAUACACACGACAACCCCGAGGACUUCACCAGCACCCCUAACAUCUAGACCUCCUCCUUUCUCUCUCUCUUUCCCUUCGAUACAUCUCGGCACUAUACAGUCACAGUGCUUGUGACUCCGGCGAGUUUUCAAAUAUUCCGACUAAGAGAUAACUCGGGGGAUUAUAUUUCCAGUUUUCCAGCAAGGUUCUGUGGCUUGCAGGCCAUUUCCCGGCCGAUCCUGAUGUCAACUUCAUUCCAUUUUGGUACAAUUAUUAACGGCGAUUCUAUCCAGCUUACUUCAUGCAGCUCUUCGACAACGGAGUAUCUGUGAAUGGACCCCUUCUAAAAUGCAUGUUUUAAUAGUAGAAAUGCAUACAUGAAAAGCAUGAUUUAAUAAUUACGUUUUAUGAAACGUUUUAUGAGAUAUUAUGCUUACUACGAAUAUUUUGAAUUAUCAUAUUUUAUCGAACUCAUGUUCUUUGUAGUAUAGAUGAUAGAUGACUUUAUACUGCUUAUGAACAUGCUUUUGCACACUUCUUUAUAGUAUAGAUGAUGGAUGACUUUAUACUAUGAAGAUGUUUUUGAGAUAUAUA
This 658-nucleotide small RNA is filed under the name Malus domestica (apple). Its description in RNAcentral is "sRNA MD10G0263800". Lineage: Eukaryota; Viridiplantae; Streptophyta; Magnoliopsida; Rosales; Rosaceae. The record is from RNAcentral.